RNAcentral lists this ribosomal RNA (588 nucleotides) under Mycobacterium sp. Its description in RNAcentral is "bacterial SSU rRNA". It matches the Rfam family "Bacterial small subunit ribosomal RNA", at positions 285 to 883 of the family's 1533-position model. Lineage: Bacteria; Bacillati; Actinomycetota; Actinomycetes; Mycobacteriales; Mycobacteriaceae. The record is from RNAcentral.
AGCCGGCCUGAGAGGGUGACCGGCCACACUGGGACUGAGAUACGGCCCAGACUCCUACGGGAGGCAGCAGUGGGGAAUAUUGCACAAUGGGCGCAAGCCUGAUGCAGCGACGCCGCGUGAGGGAUGACGGCCUUCGGGUUGUAAACCUCUUUCGCCAGGGACGAAGCGCAAGUGACGGUACCUGGAGAAGAAGGACCGGCCAACUACGUGCCAGCAGCCGCGGUAAUACGUAGGGUGCGAGCGUUGUCCGGAAUUACUGGGCGUAAAGAGCUCGUAGGUGGUUUGUCGCGUUGUUCGUGAAAACUCACAGCUCAACUGCGGGCUUGCGGGCGAUACGGGCAGACUGGAGUACUGCAGGGGAGACUGGAAUUCCUGGUGUAGCGGUGGAAUGCGCAGAUAUCAGGAGGAACACCGGUGGCGAAGGCGGGUCUCUGGGCAGUAACUGACGCUGAGGAGCGAAAGCGUGGGGAGCGAACAGGAUUAGAUACCCUGGUAGUCCACGCCGUAAACGGUGGGUACUAGGUGUGGGUUUCCUUCCUUGAGAUCCGUGCCGUAGCUAACGCAUUAAGUACCCCGCCUGGGGAGUAC